RNAcentral lists this ribosomal RNA (168 nucleotides) under uncultured bacterium. RNAcentral describes it as "partial 16S rRNA". It matches the Rfam family "Bacterial small subunit ribosomal RNA", at positions 352 to 511 of the family's 1533-position model. The record is from RNAcentral.
UAGGGAAUCUUUUUCGGCAAUGGACGAAAGUCUGACCGAGCAACGCCGCGUGAGUGAAGGAGGUUUUCGGAUCGUAAAACUCUGUUGGUAGAGAAGAACGUUGGUGAGAGUGGAAAGCUCAUCAAGUGACGGUAACUACCCAGAAAGGGACGGCUAACUACGUGCCAG